UUUAUAGGAGGAAACACUAUCGCUUGCAUCUGAGACAAAGUCGGAAGUACUUGUAUGCAGGAAGAGAAGUAAACAUGAAGUUCUAACCCCUACCAUAGUCCAAAGACUCAGAUGUGUCAAGUGGCAACAUAAUUAUUUCUUGAAUCUGAUUCUGGUGGUCUACGCCAGGAACCAUUGGAGCAAGCACCAAAACACAUUCAGCUAGUGCUGUUGGUCGAGACAAAAGAUCCUCUAUCGGAAUUUCUUUCCCCUGUACUUGAGUCCAACUGUGUCUGCGCUCUUCCAAAAUAUCAGCAAGCCUCUGCAAUUUCGUGAAACAUGCCCCUCGAAUCUUAUAGGACUCAAAAUCUCAAAGACUCUUGAUAUGCAACAAGAAUCACUACAGAGACCCGUACCAAAUCUCAGCCAGGCCUCAUCUUAUAGAGCAUUGCUCUCUCAAAUUCAACUAAGAAGGCAAACAAUAGUGGAAUAAGUCCAAUAGAGAGUCCCUUUAUAAUAUCAUAUAGGAGGAAGGAAAACAUAUGUGUCCCAACACAUAUUUAAAGUUGAUGAUUGCACUGAUACAAUAACAUUAUUGCAUUGAUGCAAUAUUCUGAUUGUACCGAUCAAUAUUAUGACUGAACUAAUAUUUUGAUUGCAUUGAUAUUGCAUAUUGAUUGUAUGAUUUAGAAUUAAUAAUAAAAUAAGUGUCAUGUUCUUGCUUA
Long non-coding RNA from Asparagus officinalis (garden asparagus), 704 nucleotides. RefSeq lists it as uncharacterized. The record is from RefSeq and is a predicted model, not a curated record. NCBI's taxonomy places the organism in Eukaryota, Viridiplantae, Streptophyta, Magnoliopsida, Asparagales, Asparagaceae. The transcript has 4 exons.